GACGAACCGUGCGAACGUUAUUCGGAAUCACUGGGCUUAAAGCGCGUGUAGGCGGGUGACCGCGUCGGUCGCUGAAAGCCCCCGGCUCAACCGGGGGAUGGGCGCCGAAACGGGUCGCCUGGAGGGGCGUAGGGGGACCUGGAACUUCCGGUGGAGCGGUGAAAUGCGUUGAGAUCGGAAGGAACGCCCGUGGCGAAAGCGAGGUCCUGGACGCCAUCUGACGCUGAGACGCGAAAGCCAGGGGAGCGAACGGGAUUAGAUACCCCGGUAGUCCUGGCCGUAAACCAUGGGCACUGGGCAGCGGGCUCGCCGAUGGGCGCGCUGCCGUAGCGAAAGCGGGAAGUGCCCCGCCUGGGGAGUAUGGUCGCAAGGCUGAA
RNAcentral lists this ribosomal RNA (377 nucleotides) under uncultured bacterium. RNAcentral's name for it is "bacterial SSU rRNA". It matches the Rfam family "Bacterial small subunit ribosomal RNA", at positions 524 to 898 of the family's 1533-position model. The record is from RNAcentral.